GACGGAGGGUGCUAGCGUUGUUCGGAAUUACUGGGCGUAAAGGGCGUGUAGGCGGCCAUGUAAGUCGGGUGUGAAAGCCCGGGGCUCAACCCCGGAACGGCACCCGAGACUGUGUGGCUCGAGACCGGAAGAGGUGAGUGGAAUACCCAGUGUAGAGGUGAAAUUCGUAGAUAUUGGGUGGAACACCGGUGGCGAAAGCGGCUCACUGGCCCGGUUCUGACGCUGAGGCGCGAAAGCGUGGGGAGCAAACAGG
RNAcentral lists this ribosomal RNA (253 nucleotides) under uncultured bacterium. RNAcentral's name for it is "partial 16S ribosomal RNA". It matches the Rfam family "Bacterial small subunit ribosomal RNA", at positions 524 to 776 of the family's 1533-position model. The record is from RNAcentral.